Molecule: ribosomal RNA, 1491 nt
Filed under: uncultured bacterium
Lineage: Bacteria
Description: bacterial SSU rRNA
Rfam family: Bacterial small subunit ribosomal RNA
Source: RNAcentral
AGAGUUUGAUCCUGGCUCAGGAUGAACGCUAGCGGCAGGCUUAAUACAUGCAAGUCGAGGGGCAGCACGGGUAGCAAUACCUGGUGGCGACCGGCGCACGGGGGCGGGUACGUAACGCGUAUGUAAUCUACCAUUAACCGGGGAAUAGCCCAGAGAAAUCUGGAUUAAUGCCCCAUAGUAUUAUCGAAAGGCAUCUUUUGAUAAUUAAAGCUCAGGCGGUUUUUGAUGAACAUGCGUGUCAUUAGUUUGUUGGUGAGGUAACGGCUCACCAAGACUACGAUGACUAGGGGGUCUGAGAGGAUGAUCCCCCACACUGGUACUGAGACACGGACCAGACUCCUACGGGAGGCAGCAGUAAGGAAUAUUGGGCAAUGGAGGCAACUCUGACCCAGCCAUGCCGCGUGAAGGAUUGACGGCCCUCUGGGUUGUAAACUUCUUUUGUACGGGAAUAACCCUCCGAACGUGUUAGAAGUGACGGUACCGUAGGAAUAAGCACCGGCUAACUCCGUGCCAGCAGCCGCGGUAAUACGGAGGGUGCAAGCGUUAUCCGGAUUUAUUGGGUUUAAAGGGUGCGUAGGCGGUCUAUUAAGUCAGCGGUGAAAGUUUUCAGCUUAACUGGAAAAAUGCCGUUGAUACUGAUAGGCUAGAAUAUGGUUGCUGUGGGUGGAAUGUGUGGUGUAGCGGUGAAAUGCUUAGAUAUCACACAGAAUAUCAAUUGCGAAGGCAGCUCACAAAGCCAUUAUUGACGCUGAGGCACGAAAGUGUGGGGAUCAAACAGGAUUAGAUACCCUGGUAGUCCACACCGUAAACGAUGAUCACUCGCUGUUUGCGAUAUACAGCAAGCGGCUGAGCGAAAGCAUUAAGUGAUCCACCUGGGGAGUACGAUCGCAAGGUUGAAACUCAAAGGAAUUGACGGGGGCCCGCACAAGCGGAGGAACAUGUGGUUUAAUUCGAUGAUACGCGAGGAACCUUACCUGGGCUUAAAUGUAGGCUGCAUUCGGCUGAAAGGCUGAUUCCCUUCGGGGCUGCUUACAAGGUGCUGCAUGGUUGUCGUCAGCUCGUGCCGUGAGGUGUCGGGUUAAGUCCCAUAACGAGCGCAACCCUUAUCGUUAGUUGCCAGCGGGUCAAGCCGGGGACUCUAGCGAGACUGCCGGUGUAAACCGUGAGGAAGGUGGGGAUGACGUCAAAUCAGCACGGCCCUUAUGUCCAGGGCUACACACGUGUUACAAUGGCCGAUACAAAGGGCAGCUACUCCGCGAGGAGAUGCUAAUCCCAAAAAGCCGGCCCAGUUCGGAUCGAAGUCUGCAACUCGACUUCGUGAAGCUGGAUUCGCUAGUAAUCGCGCAUCAGCAAUGGCGCGGUGAAUACGUUCCCGGGCCUUGUACACACCGCCCGUCAAGCCAUGGAAGCUGGGGGUACCUGAAGUCUGUAACCGCAAGGAGCGGCCUAGGGUAAAACUAGUAACUGGGGCUAAGUCGUAACAAGGUAACC